This 2344-nucleotide long non-coding RNA is filed under the name Fragaria vesca (wild strawberry). RNAcentral's name for it is "long non-coding RNA (FVES_LNC005206)". The record is from RNAcentral. Lineage: Eukaryota; Viridiplantae; Streptophyta; Magnoliopsida; Rosales; Rosaceae.
UGGAAUGCAAUGACAUCCAUUACGAGAGCAUAUCUCAUCGUAGUCAAUCCUAGUGCGUGUUAGUGAGAGACCUUGCGCCAUAAGGUGAGUCUAAGCUCUUGUUCUCACUACGCUAUCUAACAAAGGUAUAGUUGAUAGGGUUUAACUUGCGGUGUCGGCAUCACUUGCCCAAGGACCUAUCUCUUUGUUAAUGCUGGAUCUCAUCUUUCCAUUAGGCCAAUCAACUAAGUUGAUAUCCAUCAACGAAGGGUGGUUCGAUAAUAGACUCAUUAUCUCACGUCCUCAUGUACACUAGUGUAAUACUUGUAGAGAUCUCUAUAUGGAUUGGUUUUGACAUUGAGGCGUCCCCCAACGAUAAUCACAAUUCAGACUUCAUGAGACGGAUUUGAGUAUCACUGAUCAAUGGAUCAGGUUGUGCCAAGCUUGCUUUCUUUCUAGUACAAGACAAUAUCGAACCUAAGGGCCUCCCUCCUUUUAGAGAGCCACACGGCCUUGUGACACCAAUUUUGCCACUAUAUGGCGUCACCAUAUCACCAUCCAUGGUGAUGGCGUCAAGACCAACACCUUUUGGUCGCGCCAUGUCCUUUUGAUAGGACAUCAAUCCUUACAGACAUAUUUGCAGCAUGUGAUCUCGUCACUUUAACACUUUAAGCAUUUGGGAUCAAGAUGAGACUUAGUGGGGACAAACCACGACAAUUCACGUCGUUCCACUUGAACACUUGUGUUCUUAUCUCCCCCUAACGGCGGGAAUAUUGUCUCAUCAAAGUGACAAUCCGCAAUUUAGCGGUGAAUGAGAUUGCCUGACAAGGUUUCUACAUAUGCGAAUUUAUAGGUGGAGGUUUACAUCCAACCUAAAUACUUAUUCAUCUCAAAUGACCCAUCAUUGUACGCAGUGGCAAUGCGAUUUGGCACCUAGAAAUAACAUCUAGCCGAGCUCAAGGAUUGGAGAUCCGUUUCAAUCCUGCCGAGCUCAAGGAUUGCAAUUUCGUGUCAAUCCUGGUACACAGUCACGAGCUGUAGUACAACAAAAUUCAAUGAUGGUGGGUCGUAGAUGAAUAGUAAAGCUGCAUGCAAAUAUUGCAUAGCCCCAAGACGCAAUAGAAAGAGUGGUGCGCAUCAAUAAUGUUCGAGCGACAAGCUAAAGUUGCUUGGUCGUAGCCUCGGUGAGACCGUAUUGCGUGUGAACAUGGGGUACAGGACACUUCAACUUACAUCCAGAUGAACUUCUUUAAAGAAUGGGUAGUGAGCCCGUAGAAGUAUAAGCAGCAUAAGCAGUAGAUAAUAGUGUAACACGUGACCAGUGUGUUAACACUUCAACUAACACCAUAAAACAUAAAAAGGUGUCCGCAAGUUGGUUGUAUCUAUCUACAUAGUUUGAUGUAAGAAUAGAAUGUUCACUUUUGUGUUAUUUAGCGUAGGAAGGUCUCAUUCCUUAUUUAGCUAAAGAAUAGGCUUUCAAAACGAGCAAUGAGCAUUGCAGGGGGCCAAUGCGACAUCGAGGAAAGGCCGGUGCACCUCAAUUGCUUGAGGAAUUGACCGGACGACCUCCAGGAAGUUGGAGUCGUGUUCGGGUGACGUCAAUGUCCCCCGAGUCACCACCAUGCUUCAUGGUGAUGCUAGAUCUCGAAUGUCUUCGUUUUGAGCGGAAGAAUGGAUGUCCAUGAGAAUUUCUCAAAAUUUGGACCAUUAUAUCUCUUCCAGGUUGACCAAUUUGGUCAAACCAAAGCCUAUAUGAGUCGGUGUCCCAAAUAUCAUGUUUGGCGACAACAUGAGAUUCGAUAUUCGAAUCGUAGUGACAUACAGUUCACUUGAUUGACUCAUGAAUUUCUCCAAGAUGCGCUUCAGUUCGCAUUUAUGAGGAGGUAUACACAAAAGAAUUCUUGUUCAUUCUCACAAUGUGUUUUCAAAUGAAAACCAUUAGCAGGAAUGUCUUUAAAACUUAACAUGGUUCCUUAGAAUGUUGUGGAUAGUUCCACUAUCUGCGAAGCACUCAAUGUCUCUAUGAGACAUAACUACAAGGAGUAGAUAGGCGAGUAAAUAGUUCUACUUGAACCAUUUAAAAUGAUUGAAAGAAGCUACGAAAAGCUGCAAUCCCGAGAGUGCAUAAAAAUUUCCGCGCAGAAUGACCUUUGCGCACUAAAACAGCCAUAACUUCUUCGUUAAAAUAAAUAUGGACGAACCGUGAAAAGUUCUGAAAACUAAACUUGUAGAGCUUUCCAAUGAUAUAAAGCUCACUGUCUGGUUCGUCCGGAGCUGUUCAAAAAGCUCAAACGAAGUUGACUGUUCAGAAGGGACAGAUUGCUGUUUUUCGCAGAUUUGGCAUGUGCGAAGCUGUGAAGCUUGC